This 5101-nucleotide long non-coding RNA is filed under the name Elaeis guineensis (African oil palm). RNAcentral's name for it is "long non-coding RNA (EGUI_LNC022691)". Lineage: Eukaryota; Viridiplantae; Streptophyta; Magnoliopsida; Arecales; Arecaceae. The record is from RNAcentral.
UUAUUUUCUUUAUUUGUGAAGUAUCUUAACUUUUUAGUAGGAAAUGAAUGUGGAUGCAUUCAUGGAUCAGCCCAAGAGAUCCUACAACUAUAAAUAGGAUGCCUAGCCAUUUGUAAAAACCAUACUGAAUUGAAUGAAAUUUUUAGUUCUCUUCUCAAUUGUUCUGCAAGUUUGAGAGUUCUUUACGAUUGCCUACUCCUCUUAUUCUGCUACUCCACUGUUUAGGUAGAUGUUCUUCCUCAAGGAAAGAUCACCAUGUGCACUAUUUUUGGUACUAGAGUGAUUCAGGUUCGUCUAUGGUGUUUUACAUCGGCAUUGAAGUCAUGGUUCUCAUUGAAGCAGCCGCAACAUCCCAGUGCCAAAGACUAAUCCAAAAGACAUAAAGAUCCAACGGUUAUGAGAACAAAUAGUGCAAUUAGAGGUGGGGUGUGAUCAUGCAAUUGGUCAUGAUUGCUGCCCUAUACGAUCGGAAUGGAAGGAUGUACUAUCAAAUAGAACUUCCAAGCACCUCGUCAACCCUUUCUACCACUAUGUUCUAAAUCAAGGGCUGGUUUGCCUUCCUCUACUUGAUGAGUUUGGCAAGACAAUCCAUGUUUACUGAGUUUUACGAGAAGCUAAAUCCAAAAGACGUCCCCGACUAGAUCACCAACGUUGAGAGGCCUAUGAAAGGCCCUGAAAUUAUGAGGCUAUGCAUCUAUCUAGUAAGAGAUUAUCCAGCACUCUAGAGCGAGUAUUGGAAAAAUGAAGAUCACUUAUUGCCCAAAGAUGAAGAACAUCUAUGCUGCCACUUCCUUCAAGUGGAUCUCUUUCGCUCUAUUAAUAUGAAUCUUAGACAACAUGAAAGGAGCAUCACCGACUACAUGGACGAGUUUUUCAAAAUCUCCACUAUAGCUUGCUCGUAUAAGGCAAAGGAAUUUGUGUAGCCCAUUAUCUCAAUGGCUAUCAUGUUUCGAUCAAUGAUGAGAUUGAUGAAUGAUGCCUAUCACAAGGCAUUACAUGCUGAAAGGAAAUUGAGGGCUCAAACCCUUUCUUGUCUCUCCGUACAAAAAAGGGUCAUGAGAUAAUUAUCUCCAAAUAUUGUAUUAUUAUUUCUCAAUUGGUAAUACUUGCAUUGACAGCAUGUGAUGUCAUGUAACACCUAUAGAUGUUUGUCACAUAUUAUUAGGUCAUCCUUGGCAAUAUGAUCAAGAGACCAUGCAUAAUGAAAGGAGCAACACUUAUACCUUUAACAAAGAUAGAGUAAAGAUUAUUCUCAGACCCAGAAGAACAGAACAACUUCCAAGAGAAGAAAGACAUAUCAUUAUUCAGUACCAAGGGCUUCCUUAAAGAUGACAAGAAUUCAAGCUUUCACCUGAAGGACAAAUUCUCUCCAGCCUGGGAGUAUGAUGCAUAUCGUUUUGUAGAGUUAAUUCAGAUUAUGAAAAUAAAUCUUGGAAAUAUGAUCAAAGAAGGCUGAUAUCAUCAAAUGUAGGCAGAUUUAAAAAAUCAAGAUAAAUUAAAGACCCUAUCCAAUUAUGAGGCGAUUAUUUUGCAAUCACUUUCCAUAUUUAUAGUAAAUCACAUCUUAGCAGAUUAUAUGGAAGAUUCUCUUCUACAAUUAUUUUCUUUAUUUCUAAAAUCUCUUAGCUUUUCAGCAAGAAAUGAAUGCUACAUUCACAGGUAGAUUCAAGGGAUCCACCGACUAUAGAUAGAGAUGCUAGCCAUCAUAAAAAGAGCAUCUUCAAUUGAAUGAAAUUUCCAAUUUUCUUCUUCAAUGUUGUAUGAGUAUUACAGUCCUUUAUUGUUGCUUCUUCCUCCUAUCUUGCUGUUCCAUUAUUAGGUAGAUCUUCUUCCUCUAGAAGAACGAUCACCAUGUGCACUAGAUAGCCAACCCUCCAUAGCCUGAUGCAAGCCAGUAUAUGAUGGUCACUGGAUAGCUUUUAAGCCAUAUCAAACAUGAAGGCAAGAAUUUAAGGUCAGCCAUAAACCCCCUCUCUUCCCCUUCUUUUUCUACAUAUAACUCCAUCAGUUUACUUAGUUCUAUCCUAUUAGGAAGCACCUAAUUUAAGUAAUAGAGGAAGCUAGACAAGAAAAGCUCUUCAAUCUCUCAAGUUGAGCUAUAUUAUUCUUUGGUCUUUGUCAUUCUAUUUACACUCUUUCACUGUUUUGAUCUUCUUUUAAUCUUCUACAUAACAUGAUUCAACUGUUUGUUGGAAUGCCUCCUACAUAUGUUCAUGGCUUUUCUGUAGUCAGAUCCCAAUUUUCUAAUCCUCUUUUGGUCCCUGGUAUUAGUUAAGCAUCAUGAUACAUCAUGAAAACAUAAAGUUGUAUCAAAUAUGAAGUCAGGAAUCAUUAAUACUGAAAUCAAUGGGUGAAAACCAGAAAAACUAUAGACAUGUGCAGCACCCAGUUAGCAUGAACUAUAUCUAUAUCUACCUUUUCUGUAUGCAGGAUAUCUAUAGCUUCAACAAUUACUAUUGUUCACGAUUAUCAAUGCCAUUAUUUGUAAUAAGCUAUUAGAAUAUGCACAAACACAAGCAAAAAUCUAAAUUCCAAUCAAUUUGGAAUCAAUUUCUUAGAAUAGGUUUCAUGUUAUGAAUGUGGCUAAGACCUAUGCCAAAUAUGACAUCAAGCUUCCUAAAUGAAAAAUUCCUAACUGGAUCUGUUGGAUGGGAGGGCUACUUAACAUAAAUUAUGUGUGAUCCUGCUAUUGAAUUUCAUAAAUUCCAAUAAAUACAGAUGAUGCAACCAGCCGCUAGGUAAGACAGAGAGCCUGGUUGAGCCUAUUAUGGACCCUAAAUUGGCUGGAAGUUACAGAUAGCAGCCUUCUAUUUGCUUUUUACAGAAAACAAUCCUCUUAAGGCAAUAUUUUCAUUUGUAGAUACUUUUGUUUAAGGGAAACCAGAAGAUAUAGCUAAGCACAUACAGACUGGUUUAGUUCAUAUGAUAUGGCAUUUAUCAUGUUUAGGAUAAUAAUUAUUACAAGUAUUUAUUCUUUAAAAAAUUGUUACCUAAGAUUGAUUUAAUUGGGUCCUUCUUAAUCUUAUAAACUUGGGGAAUGAUCCUAUGUACUAAAAAAAAAAUUGGACUUGAAUUCUUUUAUGAGAAAAAAAAGAAAGAGAGAGUUCAGUCUCAUUUCUAUUCCCAUUCUCUACUACUAAAUUCUUUCCACUCAUUUUCAUUUCAGCCUCGGCUACUUCUUCCCUGUAUUCAUCUGCAAUAGAUCUAGGCCAAUAUCUGAUCAUAUCUGAUCCAUUGCAUUACAGAGACCAGCCAAAGAAACCCAAUAUCCCCUUUCUUAAUCCCUAUUUAGGUACAAUCUUUAUAAUAUUAAAUCCUCACCCUAGUUUUUCAUCAUCACUUCAUUGAAUUCAUUUCCGUGCUUUACUUGACAUCUGAAUACGGGAUUUAACCACAAAGCCCUGGAUGUUGUCUUUUUAACCUUUCCACUCUUCAGUCAACAACCAUGAUAGAUCAUACCAAUUAUUGUUCUUGACCAUCAGGAACAUAAAGUUCAUCAAUAUACCUAGAUGUUUUCACUUUAUUCUUGGUUAUGUUCCAUUGUGAAAACAGAAAGCUUAACAGUGCUUCUACCAUGAAGUUUUGCAAGAGUUUUAGUUUCCUUUGUAAUAUUCAUAUGUCUAAUCUUAAGGGGUCACAUUAGGUGAUAUGGUUAUAGUUUGAACAUCAUGUUAGCAAUACUUUACUAUAUAAUUAAGACUGAUACCAAGAAAAGGGUUGUACUAACAGAAAAGUUGCACUUCUUCCUCUUUAUAGCCUACCACACAGCAGUAGCAGUACUUUAAAUAUCACCAAUGUUACAUUAGCAAUAAACAUAGCCAAACUUGCACAUAUGUUUUGAAACGGUCCAUCUAAAUUGAAAGACACCAAGAAAUUAGUUGCAUUUUAAAAAAACUAUAAAUGUAUAAUAUGUUUAGCGAAUCAGGUAUCAUUUAUCAAAAAUGUGACCAUUCUCACAGAUAUCAUUUGUCAUGCCCUGAAAAUAUCUUUGGUAUCAUGCCACAGAACAGCUAAUAAUAAUUUGAUUACCAUCAACAAUGCAUAUACAAUAUUUUGCUACUGCAAGUAACAGAAGUUUAAAGUUAAAUAGCUCAUAAUAACAAAUCUCAUGGCAACCUCCACAUAAAGCAAUAUUGCAUUCCGUCCAGUGAAUGUGUUAUCCAGUCGUCCAAAGCCAAAAAUGAUGAUAAUUUAGGAUCCUCUCCAAGAAAUCAUUUUUAUAACAAAGCACAAGUUAUGGCUAAAUCCAUCCUCCUGAAUUCAAUUUAUAUUUUUCUUCUUAAAUGCCAACUUAAAUAUUACAAUAAUUUACAAUCCUUCUAUAGUAGAACAUUUUCAGCACUGACACCAUAUCCCAUUUUCUUGAAUUCUGUUUUUCGUAAAAAUAAUAUUUUUCUUGAAUUCAAAAGUAAUAUUUGGAUAUGGUAUUCUUUCUCCUAACCAUCCCCUACCCGCCUAAACCAAGAAAUAAAAGAAAAGAAUUCAUACAAUCAGGAAAUGCAGUUCCUCAUAAGAUGGAAGUUCACGACGCAAAAAAGCUGAAAAGCAUUUUUCUCUUGGACAUGGUAUGAGAAAAUCACAACAUUCUGUGAAAAGCGGAACAUAUUUUACGUUAAUUCUCCAAUUUUUUCUCAACAUCACCAAUUAACUUUCCGCAAAACAUGAUUAAAGAAGGGAUAAAGUUCCACAAAAAAAAAAAAAAAAGAAUCGAGAAUCCCAUCAUACUUACAAAACUACAGCAAAAUUACUCCGAGAAAAUCGAGCAAAUAAGCUUGACUGAGUAUACAACAAUGAAGAAAAUCCACGAUGUUUUGAAGAACGAAUAGCGAAGGAGAAUACCUAAAUCAGAGCGGGGAAAUAAUCCGGGCCUGAGAAAAGAUCAAAACGCGUCGUUAAUCGGUGAUCCAAGAACAGGAGAAGAGGGUUUGAGAGGAAGAGUGACGGCGAGCGGAUCGGAACCCGAAGAACCCCAGCCACUUGAGGCGGGGCUUUAAGCAUGGAGUUUGUGCAUACGGACGGCCCAGAUUGAGUGAGAUCGGAGGCUAACAUCAUCUGAUGGAGUCGGUUUGAUGGUCGGUACGCCAUUAGGUCAUGGAGUCGG